Molecule: ribosomal RNA, 491 nt
Filed under: uncultured bacterium
Lineage: Bacteria
Description: partial 16S ribosomal RNA
Rfam family: Bacterial small subunit ribosomal RNA
Source: RNAcentral
GAUGAACGCUAGCGAUAGGCUUAACACAUGCAAGUCGAGGGGUAACGUGUUGGAAGCUUGCUUCCGAUGACGACGACCGGCGGAUGGGUGCGUAACGCGUAUGCAACUUGCCUCACAGUGGAGAAUAACCCGGAGAAAUCCGGACUAAUACUCCAUACACUCUUAAGUACGCCUGUACAUGAGAGGAAAGAUUUAUCGCUGUGAGAUAGGCAUGCGUCCUAUUAGGUAGUUGGUGAGGUAACGGCUCACCAAGCCGACGAUAGGUAGGGGUGCUGAGAGGCAGAUCCCCCACAUUGGGACUGAGACACGGCCCAAACUCCUACGGGAGGCAGCAGUGAGGAAUAUUGGUCAAUGGAGGAAACUCUGAACCAGCCAAGUCGCGUGAAGGAAGAACGUCCUAAGGAUUGUAAACUUCUUUAGCGAGCGAGUAAGGACUUCCACGUGAUGGGAGUUUGAAAGUAGCUCGAGAAUAAGUAUCGGCUAACUCCGUG